Molecule: ribosomal RNA, 253 nt
Filed under: uncultured bacterium
Lineage: Bacteria
Description: partial 16S ribosomal RNA
Rfam family: Bacterial small subunit ribosomal RNA
Source: RNAcentral
UACGUAGGGUGCAAGCGUUGUCCGGAAUUAUUGGGCGUAAAGAGCUCGUAGGCGGUUUGUCGCGUCUGCUGUGAAAGUUCGGGGCUCAACCCCUGAACUGCAGUGGGUAUGGGCAGACUAGAGUGCGGUAGAGGAGACUGGAAUUCCUGGUGUAGCGGUGGAAUGCGCAGAUAUCAGGAGGAACACCAGUGGCGGAGGCGGGUCUCUGGGCCGCAACUGAAGCUGAGGAGCGAAAGCGUGGGGAGCGAACAAG